This 493-nucleotide ribosomal RNA is filed under the name uncultured bacterium. RNAcentral describes it as "partial 16S ribosomal RNA". It matches the Rfam family "Bacterial small subunit ribosomal RNA", at positions 29 to 523 of the family's 1533-position model. The record is from RNAcentral.
AUUGAACGCUGGCGGCAUGCUUUACACAUGCAAGUCGAACGGUAACAGGUUAAGCUGACGAGUGGCGAACGGGUGAGUAAUGCAUCGGAACGUGCCCGAUCGUGGGGGAUAACGCAGCGAAAGCUGCGCUAAUACCGCAUACGAUCUGAGGAUGAAAGCGGGGGACCGUAAGGCCUCGCGCGAUCGGAGCGGCCGAUGUCAGAUUAGGUAGUUGGUGGGGUAAAGGCCCACCAAGCCGACGAGCGGUAGCUGGUCUGAGAGGACGACCAGCCACAGUGGGAAUGAGACACGGCCCAGACUCCUACGGGAGGCAGCAGUGGGGAAUUUUGGACAAUGUGCGAAAGCCUGAUCCAGCAAUGCCGCGUGCAGGAAGAAGGCCUUCGGGUUGUAAACUGCUUUUGUACGGAGCGAAAAGGUCCUUUCUAAUACAAGGGGCUCAUGACGGUACCGUAAGAAUAAGCACCGGCUAACUACGUGCCAGCCGCCGCCGUAA